ACGCUGGCGGCAGGCCUAACACAUGCAAGUCGAGCGGUAGAGAGAAGCUUGCCUCUCUUGAGAGCGGCGGACGGGUGAGUAAUGCCUAGGAAUCUGCCUGGUAGUGGGGGAUAACGUUCGGAAACGGACGCUAAUACCGCAUACGUCCUACGGGAGAAAGCAGGGGACCUUCGGGCCUUGCGCUAUCAGAUGAGCCUAGGUCGGAUUAGCUAGUUGGUGAGGUAAUGGCUCACCAAGGCGACGAUCCGUAACUGGUCUGAGAGGAUGAUCAGUCACACUGGAACUGAGACACGGUCCAGACUCCUACGGGAGGCAGCAGUGGGGAAUAUUGGACAAUGGGCGAAAGCCUGACCCAGCCAUGCCGCGUGUGUGAAGAAGGUCUUCGGAUUGUAAAGCACUUUAAGUUGGGAGGAAGGGCAUUAACCUAAUACGUUAGUGUUUUGACGUUACCGACAGAAUAAGCACCGGCUAACUCUGUGCCAGCAGCCCGCGGUAAUACAGAGGGUGCAAGCGUUAAUCGGAAUUACUGGGCGUAAAGCGCGCGUAGGUGGUUUGUUAAGUUGGAUGUGAAAUCCCCGGGCUCAACCUGGGAACUGCAUUCAAAACUGACUGACUAGAGUAUGGUAGAGGGUGGUGGAAUUUCCUGUGUAGCGGUGAAAUGCGUAGAUAUAGGAAGGAACACCAGUGGCGAAGGCGACCACCUGGACUAAUACUGACACUGAGGUGCGAAAGCGUGGGGAGCAAAC
This 746-nucleotide ribosomal RNA is filed under the name uncultured bacterium. RNAcentral's name for it is "bacterial SSU rRNA". It matches the Rfam family "Bacterial small subunit ribosomal RNA", at positions 33 to 773 of the family's 1533-position model. The record is from RNAcentral.